This 199-nucleotide long non-coding RNA is filed under the name Elaeis guineensis (African oil palm). RNAcentral describes it as "long non-coding RNA (EGUI_LNC071476)". The record is from RNAcentral. Lineage: Eukaryota; Viridiplantae; Streptophyta; Magnoliopsida; Arecales; Arecaceae.
AUGAAGAGGCCAUUGGUUCAUUGGAAAGCUGCAUGGAGCAGCAUCACCACCAACCCCACCAAUAGUGAUACUAGGAUGUUGGGCAUGGCAUUGGUAAGAUGCAACACCACAACGGUGAUGAUGCCAAGCAUAAUCAAGAUCAUACCAUCUCUGAACAUAUAGCUGAGGAUGACAGUUGGCUUUUUGCAGAGAUGAUGAG